This 394-nucleotide ribosomal RNA is filed under the name Aureococcus sp. RNAcentral describes it as "partial small subunit ribosomal RNA". It matches the Rfam family "Eukaryotic small subunit ribosomal RNA", at positions 582 to 975 of the family's 1831-position model. The record is from RNAcentral. Lineage: Eukaryota; Pelagophyceae; Pelagomonadales; Pelagomonadaceae.
AUUCCAGCUCCAAUAGCGUAUAUUAAAGUUGUUGCAGUUAAAAAGCUCGUAGUUGGAUUCCUGGCACGGGGUAGCCGGUCCGCCUUGCAAAAGGUGCGCACUGAGCGGCCUCGGCCAUCCUUGCGAUGGUCUAUCCUGGCAUUCAGUUGUCGGGGUUGGGAUUCGCGACGUUUACUGCGAAAAAAUCAGAGUAUUCAACGCAGGCUUACGCCUUGAAUACAUUAGCAUGGAAUAAUGAGAUAGGACCUUGGCGGUCUAUUUUGUUGGUUUGCACGCCGAGGUAAUGAUUAAAAGGGACGGUUGGGGUUCUUCGUAUUCAAUUGUCAGAGGUGAAAUUCUUGGAUUUAUGGAAGACGAACUGCUGCGAAAGCAUCGAACAAGGACGUUCUCAUCG